AUUCAUUGCUAGGGGUGCCGUAUAGGCUGAAAGAUAUAUUAUCAACCCUUUGAACCUGAUCUAGUUAGCACUAGCGUAGGGAAGCGUGUAAAAAUGAUA
Molecule: non-coding RNA, 99 nt
Filed under: Staphylococcus carnosus
Lineage: Bacteria; Bacillati; Bacillota; Bacilli; Caryophanales; Staphylococcaceae
Description: TPP sequence
Rfam family: TPP riboswitch aptamer (THI element)
About the family: Vitamin B(1) in its active form thiamin pyrophosphate (TPP) is an essential coenzyme that is synthesised by coupling of pyrimidine and thiazole moieties in bacteria. The previously detected thiamin-regulatory element, thi box was extended, resulting in a new, highly conserved RNA secondary structure, the THI element, which is widely distributed in eubacteria and also occurs in some archaea. Analysis of operon structures identified a large number of new candidate thiamin-regulated genes, mostly transporters, in various prokaryotic organisms.
Source: RNAcentral